AACUGUCUUUCCAUGUGGCGGUGUCUACGUUGAUUGUCAAAAACCGAUGUAAUGAUGAUUUUUAUAAAAUCGUCUCUGAUGUUAACCUUUCAUAAAAACCAUCUUUGAUCCCAAAGGUCUUUUUUAAUUAUUUUAUUUAUUUUCUCUUUCAUUAAUUCACAACAACAACGUGAUGAACCUAAAGCUAAAAAGCUUCGAGAAAUGGGAUGCUCCUGAGGAGAAUGGCAGAGAAGGACGCAGAGGAAGAUUGGAGUUCUUUUCGGAGAAAGAAAACCAAGAAACACAACAACCACACCCUGGAGAAGGGAACACUCCAGAGAAGAACCCUCACUGUGUUACCGUGGUGUUGCCAGAGAAGGAUGCAGGGGGCGUCAAUUUCUUUUGCCGUUGUGGUGUUGUCAGAAAAGAAGCCCGUCGAGGCCGCGCGACACAGAGUGGAGAAGACCAUGAAGUGAAAAUUGUUGCAGAAAAUUGGUUCACGAUGGGCAGAAAAAAAACAUGAUGAACCUGUUGAAUCGCGUCGAUUAAGCCUCGUACUGUUCGGCUGAAUCACCAUAGUUUGAAGCUUCUAAAAUAUUGGACAUGGCAGUUUGUUGUUGUCCGUCCAGUAUGUUCUGUUCUGAUGAUUGCAUUACAGCUAUGCGGGCUGUAUCCAACUUGGUUGAGCUGGGCAUUCACCAUCGUUCUCUACAUAUCUGUGUCGUUUGCCUUGUAUUCUCUGGUGGUCUUUUACCAUGUGUUUGCUAAAGAACUGGCACCACACAAACCUCUAGCUAAAUUCUUGUGCAUCAAAGGAAUUGUUUUCUUCUGCUUUUGGCAGCCAACAAGACAAUAAACUCAAUGUAGGAAAUUUCAACCUGAAAAAGCAGAGAGGAUCAUAUAAUGCUUUGGGGGUUCAUGCCAAGGACAUACGUCAGGAGAAGACAAAGCAGAAUUUUGAAAUGGCACAAGAGAGCAUAAGACAGAUGCGAGAACUCUUAGGAGAGCUAGUCAUGGUUGAGGGUGAGAUAGCGAGACUUAAAUCCCAAAUAAGCCAACUCCAAGAUGGUUUGAAACGUGAACAAGAAGUCACCAUGGAAUCAAAGCCUAAAACGUGGAAUCAAGGGAAUUUGACCAAUUCUAACAAUCACUUAUAAACUUCACCGGUUCCAAAUCCUAGUCCUAUUUGCAGAAUUUUUCAAGAAAGGAUGGCAUUUGAAACCAAGGCGUUGCAUUUCAUAAGCAAAGCUAUAAAGGGCGAUUAUAAUCUCAAUGACUUCAGUUAUAAUGAUAAAGCAGGGUUUUUUAAAACUUCUGUCGAACAGAAAGAAAGUAAGUUCCAAGAUGUGAAAUUUCAAGAAAAACUUCCUAGAAAAAAUGGGAUAGUGAAGCCUCCUUCACCUAUGCGUGACCCCCGCCAUCCAUCACCCAAGUUGCGGGAGCGCAAUCCAGAGAUUUACUUGGAUCUCCCAACCAGAUCACUUUGGAUCCACUUCUGUCAGAAGAGAAUGAUCUCAAGUGGCAGCCCAACAAGCUAUCUGAGAGCAUCAUGAAGUGUUUGAAUUUCAUAUAAGUGAGACUUAGGCAUAUUCACCUCCAGCUCUAUGGAUCCCAAGUUCAUCUCAAGUCCAUCCUCUAUACCAUUACUAAGGAAGUUAAGGUAUGGCAUGGAUGAUGUGUAUAUUUACGAGAAAAACCAACAUUGACAACUUUGAUCUUGAUGAGCAAUCUUCAAACUGUUGACUUGAAAAGCCUUACAAACCAACAGAAAUUAGCAUUCUGGAUCAAUGUGUACAACGCUUGUAUCAUGCAUGGAUUUAUCCAAUAUGGAGUGCCAUCUACCCCAGAAAAACUACUUGCAUUGAUGAACAAGAUAUAUUCUAAAAUGAUUGGAAAUGUUAUGAUAGAUGCCCGAUCAACUGGAAAAUAUUACCAUUGUAAGUACAUAAAUUUGAGAAACUCUUCAGAUCUAUAUAGCAAUUAAAGACUGAAGACCAAUGCUUAAUGUACCACCUUGGACAUUGAUUGUUGUUACUAUUCUCUACUUUAUUGCUUCUCUCUUCUUACAACAUGAACUGGUUCACUUUUUAAACAUUUUGCACUUUAAAACCACUGCUAUCAUCCAUUCUUAUUGUUUGAGGUCAACAAUAAUCGUUUGAUUUCUUUCCCCUAAUUUUUUGUAUAACUUUGAAAUAAAAACAAAAUGUUGGGAUAUUCCUCUAAACUGCCAUAUCUUCUCACACAGAUGUGCCAGCACCUGUUAUGGGAACAGGACCAUAGGUCAGUACUAAUUACACAGAUUUAGAAUUGAAUCUGCUGCUAUUUGUUUAAGAUUAUAUAUACUUUUUAUGUUACUGUCAAUUUAUAUUUGACUUAAAUACAUGAUUGCAAAUCCCCAGACAUUGUAAUGUCUUCAAUUCCUACUGAUAAAAAAAAAUACAUGUUGAUAUGAUUUUUGAAAUUCAAUAUUAUCUUACAUACAUGCAUGAAGUUUAGAAAUUCUAUUGUAUUGUUGAAUGAUCCAACUAUAUAUAUAUAUUGAUGUUUCCCAGCUGGCACAUAUGGUUGAUGUGUCAUCCGGUAUGCAUGUUGAAACAGCUUAUGACAUGCUAUUUUUAGUAUUAGUAUACAAGGCAGUAUAUACCAUUGUUAAAAGCUCAAACAGCUGAUGACAUGCUAUUUUUAGUAUUAGUAUGCAAUUUUGUAUAUAGUUAGCUACUACAAAUUGUUAUUUAAUUAUAAGUUAUGCAAAUUCUUAUUUAAUUUUGUAUAUAGCUUGUUUGUCUCAAUGACAAAUUGUUAUUUAAUUAUAAGUUAUGCAAAUUUACUAUAGCUAGCUACUACAAAUGUAAAUGAGACAUGGUUGAUUGCUGAAAUGUUUUGGUAAUUUGCAUAUGUUGUUACGGGCUGAAUUCCACGAACCAAAAAAAUAAAAA
Molecule: long non-coding RNA, 2915 nt
Organism: Glycine soja
Lineage: Eukaryota; Viridiplantae; Streptophyta; Magnoliopsida; Fabales; Fabaceae
Exons: 9
Source: RefSeq, a predicted model, not a curated record